GUAAGAUUUCUAUUUUUUUUUUUUUUUUAAGAAAUUAAUACUUUUAUUCAGCAAGGAUGCAUUAAACUGAUCAAAAGUAACUUCUAUUACAAAGAAAUUCUGUUUUUUUAUGUUUAAAUAUAAAAUGAUUACAGUUUCCACAAAAAUACAAAGCAGCAUGACUAUUUUCAACAUUGAUAAUAAGGAGAAAUGUUCUCAAGCAGGAAACCAGCAUAUUUGAAUGAUUUCUGAAGAACCAUGUGACACUGAAGACUGGAUUAAAUUACAUUUAAAAAUACAAUAGAAAGCAGUUAUUUUAAAUUUGUAAUAAUAUUCCACACUAUUACUGUUUUAGUGUAUUUUCGAUCAAAUAAACACAGCCUUGCCAGUAAGACACUUCUUUCAAAGAUCUAUCCGAUCCCAUAUUUUGAAAGACUAGCUGUCAUUAUUUAUUCACCCUUAUAUUGUUGCAAACCCGUAUGAAUUUAUAUCUUCCAUGAGACACAAAAAGAGACAUUUAGCAGAAUGUCUAAGCUGAACAUAUCCAUGCAUUGAAAGUGAAUCAGGGGCUUUCAAGCUCCACAAAGACAAAUAAGUGCCAUAAAGCAUCAUAAAAGUCACAUGCACUAUAUUCUAAUUCAAUUAGUUAUAAUGUGAACAUAAAUACAUUUUAUUUAUUAAUUGAAAAUCUUGCUUUAAAUGUCUUGAUGUACAGCUGUAGUCCCCAUUCACUUUCAAUGUAAUUAAAAGAGCAGCUUCUACAAUAAAUAAAGUUUCAGAAGACACGAAGGUGAAUAAAAGAAAAAAUUUGAAAAUGAUUUCUGACGUGGAGAACAGCAUGUUUUCAGAGGACAAACUAUACUAAGAAAACUAUACUAAUAGUGAGUCAUUCUCAUCACACGGCGCUUUUAUCUGAACCGCCCAAGCAUGUAGCUUACGGCUAAACAACACCACCGCCGUCAUCCCGAUCAUCUGCUUUUCCUCAUUACACCAGUCCUUUAAACACAAACAUACACCGGAACAUCAUUACCAACUUCAUAAAAAAAAUUUAAUAUUAGAAAGAGCUAAAAUGGAUAUACUCACUCUCAGAAAAAAAGUGUAUUUAUAAUGUUAUUUGGUGUAUCGUGACCUAAAAUGAAGUCAGGCCUGUUCUGAUAAACAGUCACAAACAGCAAGGAAUAAACAAUGCUAGGAAAAUGCAUAUAAACAUAAAAUCAGAUAGCAAAAUAUCUUUUAAAUGUAAGGAGAAAACACUUCCUACAUGUGUUUGUCUGGGAAAUCACUUAAACCUCUUGUUUAUGCAAUUACAAAAUCGUCCUGUUCAGUCUAUAUCUUGUUUCUAUUUCUGCAUAUUGUUGGGUAGCAUGCCAAUACAUUUAAAUCAUCAAUUUUUGUAUUUUUUUUUACUUUUGUACAAUAAGCAAUCUUGGUAUUGUUUUGGACCGAUUUGUAACGUAAAAUCACGAUUAAUUGUUUUCGACUCGUGGCAAAGUGAAAGUUUAUAACAGCAAGCCAAAUAUGCGAGAUGUCUUGGCCACAAUGAGCUGAUAAGCAAAGAGUUAAUGCAUUUACAAUCUGCAAUCAUGAGAAUCUACAGCGCUGACUAAAAGCCGUAGAAUGCGGAGGGCCGAGACCAUGCGGUGCCCUACUGACAUCAUGCAUCAGCAAACCUAUUCUUUGCACCCUUUGAAAAAAUGUGCUGAAUCUUACUACUAAAAAAAGAGAGACCAGACGAAAUGACUAAACCAUUUCACAAACAUUUCACGAUUUGUAAUUUGGAUAGUUCGUAUGAUGACAAAUCGAACUGAAACCAGGCUCGGAUGAUCAAAUAGGCAAUUUAAGAGUCAUUUGACACCUGAUUCUACUCAAACAACUGAUACUCGUCCUUUUCCUGUGACAUUAAGGUGACAUUUAGCCAGCUCCACAUCAUCUUUACCAGAAAUCAUAACAACUCAUAUAAACUUAUUUAAAAAAAUAAAAAAGCCACCUUCUAUCCAGCUGCUGUAUACCCAGCCAGUUCUGUAAUUGAGCAGAUUUACGACACUGUAAAUGUAAAGACUGCCCACAAGAGAAAUGAUCUUUAAAAAAUAUUUUUUUAAAAUUACAACAUUUGCAUUUAAUCAAAACAAAUCAUAUUUACGCUCCUUCUCACUGGUGAGGUCAAAUGAAUCAAUUGUGUUGUGCAUUGAGUUAAGGGAUUAUUUUAAAUGAAAUAUUAAUGCACAUAAGCUAGGACAUGUAUUUUGUGUUGCAUAAAAUACUAAUCUUCUCUACAUAAUAUGAAAAGGCAAUUAUGGUCAACAAAUGACGUGUGUACAAUCUAGCGGUCAAGUCGAUUCAAUAAAUGACGUGGCCUAGUAAGCUGUCAAGUGAAAGCAUCUCAUUCAUUGCCAGAUUUGAUUUUAAAAAUUUUUAUUAACUUAUUAACCAUGCAAAAUGAAUACAGCAUGAAACAUACACAACAGAACACAACACAAAGCAUGAAAGUUACAUUAGUAUGCUUGACUAUGCUUUAAAUGAAUUAAACGAACGCGGAAGCUAAAUGCAUCAAAAAUUCUCCCACAACAAUUAUAAUUAACACCUGCGACAAAGCAAUGCCAUCUUCAUGUAAUCAAGAUGCAUCUACAUUUAGACAACCUUAUACAUACAGUGCACAUAAAAGAAGUCUUAACCUACUUUUGAAGAAAAAAAAAUCACAAAACAAACCUGCGAUUCAAUUUUCUUGCUUCAGUUGAAA
Long non-coding RNA from Cyprinus carpio carpio, 2716 nucleotides. The record is from Ensembl. NCBI's taxonomy places the organism in Eukaryota, Metazoa, Chordata, Actinopteri, Cypriniformes, Cyprinidae.